GAGACCCGUACCCACAGUUGCCAGCGGCUGCUCCGGCAGGCUGGGUACACUAUGGGGACCGCCUCUGCUAAAGAGGAGGAAGGAAUGGGCAACGGUAGGUCAGCAUGCCCCGAAUUAUCCGGGCUACACGCGGGCUACAAUGGUCAGGACAAUGGGUAUCGACACCGAGAGGUGAAGGCAAUCUCUUAAACCUGUCCUUAGUUCGGAUUGUGGGCUGCAACUCGCCCACAUGAAGCUGGAAUCCGUAGUAAUCGCGGAUCAACAUUCCGCGGUGAAUAU
This 279-nucleotide ribosomal RNA is filed under the name uncultured archaeon. Its description in RNAcentral is "partial 16S rRNA". It matches the Rfam family "Archaeal small subunit ribosomal RNA", at positions 1047 to 1325 of the family's 1478-position model. The record is from RNAcentral.